Cuculus canorus (common cuckoo) is the source of this 11500-nucleotide long non-coding RNA. RefSeq lists it as uncharacterized. Lineage: Eukaryota; Metazoa; Chordata; Aves; Cuculiformes; Cuculidae. The transcript has 3 exons. The record is from RefSeq and is a predicted model, not a curated record.
CUCAAACAAGAUGUUAGACAUGUCCAUGUGCUUUGCUGAAUGAGUUUCAUACCUCUCCUGAGGAGAGGCUUCGGCUUCCAAGGGGCACUCUGCUACCUCCAGCAUGAAGCAAUGGAUUGCCAGUGCAGGCUUCUUAUUGUACUGUGUUACAAACAUGCAAUAAGAACCUGGAAAAAACAAGGCUAACCAAAGUCCUUUUUUAGAUGAUACAGUAGGAAUAACGAAGCCUGGCUUAUUUUUCAGGAAGCGAUGUGUGUGAAGGUUUCCUUUGGGAGUAGGGGAAGUGUGUUCUGAGUAUGCUUAUCUGGUUUUAAUACUUUCUGGUUUGGAUAACCUCAUUCAUUUGAUGUCCAAUCUUAUAAAAGGUCACAAAUAAGGAUGAGAACUAACUUUGUGAUUUGCAACCCUAUAACAUCCCACAGCCAUUUUCAGCAAUGAAGCAGCUGUUCAUGUUCUUGAUUCUUUGUGGGAGACAAGUCUUUGCUAAAACAACCAUCAAAAAAAACUAAGCAGGCUGUAAAUGCAUCAUUUUUUCACUAUUAUUAACCCUGACCCAACAAGUCAGACUAUUUCGCUCUUGAAACUGUGAGAUAGUGUCACUGGCCGACACAUACUUGAGCUUGCCUUCCCGCAUUUCAAGAAAAAGUGGGGGUUUUUUCCAUUUAAUGAAAACUCACAUUUUUUUGUCUUCCUUUAUUCAUUUAUUUUUGAGGCCUUCCACCUCUGUUAACUGUGGGAAAAGUCUUCACUUUGCCAGGGUACAGCAGGCAUUGUAAAAGUAAUUCAAUUUUACACCACAGCAAUGACGUGAUCAAGGGAACUUUGAGCAGGCUUUGUGACCAAAAGCAUUUAACAAGUAUGUGAAAAGCUUCAAAAGAGCCUUCAUGAAAGAAAGAAAGGUUAUAACAAUAGGAGAGGUAGUUUGAUAGUGGUAAAUUAAGAGUCAUAGGAGUGUCUUUAAUCAUGUUAGACUUUAAAGAAAGAGAAGCACCUUUAUACCUCUCUGGUAUAGGCCUGAGUGCAUGAAGAACCGUUGUGUUUCAGUUGGGAAGUACACAAAUAAAUCCCUGCGGCACUCGCUCCUCCUUGGACUGAAGAAUUCAGCCAUGCAAGGACAAAGACCUUCUAGGCAAAAUAAGUAAAACUGCAGAUUUGGAGGAGUACAUUGGAAAAAUAUGUUCUUUGUUGGGUUUAGUCAAUAUCUAGACCUCCUUAGAGGUUGCCACCUUCCAUCCUGUGCCCUGUGGAAACUACCUGACAUUUCUAAUGCAAGCACAAAAACAGUCUUGUCUAUAAAAGCACUGGUGAACCAUUCACGCAUGUUACUAGUUCAUAAGGUGUGCGCAGCCUGAGCUAGAUUCUAUCCUGUGCUAUACCCCAGUGAAGUACAUCAAGCACCACAUAGAGAAAAGGCCAUGCAAAUGACAAAUUAUUAUAUAUAGCCUAUGUAUUCAUAUGCACGCUAAGGAGACUGGUCCUGGGAAUAUUAUUAAAAACUAGGGUUUGUAAGGAAUAUGUAUAUAGAUGAAUGUUUUAAAGGAGAAUCCAGCUAUCUAAAAAGACGACACAUACACAAACAGCCUAUCAAGUUGUUCGGACUAGUUUUAUUGUUUCUCACAUGUGGCUUAAUAAACACCUUUUAUAUAUGUGUUACUGUGAAAAAAUGGUCAGAGUUUAUUUUGCACAGGAAAAAGUUUAUAGCUUGUCUUUUUCUCUGCUAGGGAAAAUAAGAAACAAAUAAGUUGGGUCUGACUCGUUUUUGCAAUCGACAGAGACACCUACAGGAAGACAAAAUUAACACAUUGGCAUAUUGGGUGUUUUCUGCUUUAUUUGUUCACAGCUUGAGCCUAUUACCUAAUAGAGACACGAGAAAAUGGCCCAUCUGUUUGCAGUGGGUAAAUGUUAGACUUGCAUGUCAGCAUCCUGUACCUAAGCUAUAGUAACUACAACAGGUUAACUGCAGCUAUCUGCAACAUUUGUGCAUACAUAGCACUUCCAUGUUUGGAGAGAUCAAAGAGCAGUGACUUCUGAGCAGCCCAUUUUCCAGAUGUCCACAAGGCAAAUGAGCCACUGCUACCAGGAUUCAGGGCUGCUCUGUGAAAUAUAGCCUGUGUACCCUCUGGGGUUCCUGCAGAAGUGGUUUUCUCUGGUUUACAGUCUUUAAGGUAGGUCCAUAUUUCUAGAAAUAGUCCUAGCACAUUGUGGGCUCUGUAACGCUAAUCUAAACUCACAUACUGAGCAUGCAGAUAUUUCAGGGACAGGAGCUGUACAACUUACUCAUAUGUAGAUAACUGGGGGCUGCCUAUCACUGCAGAGCCACCUGCUUACGUACAGCACCUGCACUGUAUGAAUUUACACCAGGAGCUCAUUAACAACUUAGUGCUGGGCUGCAAAGCAUUUUUUUUUUUCAGGAAUGUCCUCUAUUAUGUUCCCAGCAAUCUGUUGGCCAUCAACACCUUGCUGAUAAACUGGAAAUCUUCACCUUCUUCCAUCCCCACCUCUCAAAUGACCCAUGAAAGAGUCUUGAAGAUCAAAGAAAUCCUCUUCCACCUUAUCCUUCUGGCAGAGAGGCCGAUGGGAUUUAGCACCCAUGUGGGAAUAUGAGCACUGGUAACUGGAGAGUGGUAGGGGUGAAAAAUGACUAGAGGGAGGUGAUGGUGGAAGAACCCAGAAGAUGAAUUACCUGGGGAGGACGUGCAUACUGAAUUGGGUCUCCAUAGCAAAUGUGAGAAGACAGAAGAGAAAUUACUUUCUCUGCCCCAAAUAAAGAUCAAGGAGUAUUUGCAUUCAAAGGGGUUGGAUUUUGCACAUACCUCAUCUCUUCAGUCACUUUCUUUUAACUGGAAAUCCUCACUAACUGAUUAUUCUGCAAAUUCUGCUCCUGUACAUCCUAUAUCUGAAAGGCUUACUUGUUUCUCCAGUGCUGACUGCAUGUGUUCCUUGCCCUUGCAUUUGCUGUUCAAAGCCAAAUAAAAAGUGUAAAGCAGUUAGAUGAGAGAACUAGGCAAUUCUAUGAGAUUUUUAAAAGAUCGUGCAAUUCCAAUACUUUAAAGGUAAACGCCUGUAUACUAGAGAUAACCAAGCAAAUUAUUCAGUAAGUCUUAUCCAUUAUUUAUCCUAUUUUUUUCAGCAAUUUUAGGCUUUAUCUUGAGUGUAUGUUAGAAAACUCAGCAACCUGGGGGCUUUUCACAGCACCUUAGGAAGACUAAAGUGGAGCUGAUGAAUAAUCAGUGAUGGAACAGCUGUUAUCCAGAGAUAACAGAGGACUUCAGGCUGCAGAUGUGCAUGGGGUCAAGGGAGACAAUGUUGUGCAUGAAAAAAGUCAUACAAUGGAGUUCUGUGUAUUUUCUUCAGAUUUGAAGAACAAAGAAGCAACGACCUUUUGUCUGCUGCUGUCAUUCCCUGCUUCACCAUUAAGGUAGUUUUCUUUUUUUUUCCUCCCCUUAAUGGGAGGUAUUUUGAAAUAGACCCCUGCCAAUCAUGCCCUGAAAAAGAUGAGCCCAUCCAUCAGCAGAAUCCCUUUUAAAAGUUUUAGUAUUCUGAAUGUCAAAGCAUGUGGCAGUCAAGUUAACACAGCAUUUUUGAUACCUGUGAUUUGGAUGUAUUUGUUUCAAAGGUUAAUUUUUAAUUGCUGGGUAUGCCAAGUUUCAAAGGACAAAUGAAAAACAGAAGAAAGCAGGACUAUACUCUUGGGUUCAGUAAAGAUCUUUCCAUCCUCCAACAAUGGUCAAUAGUGCUGUGCAAGAAUAGAGCUAGCAAAGAGAGAGAAUUCUUUUCGCGUAUCCUGGCUUCUGGCAGACUGUGAUUUAAGGACUUUUGAGUUGAGAAUGUAUCCAUGUCUUUGCGUUGAAUUGCAUUUGUGGACUGUUCGUAUCUGGAUUUGUGUUUCCUUGUUUUGUUGUUGUUAAUGUAUCUAAAGCUUCAUAAUUGAUACUGUAAAUGAAAAGGCACUUCUGUUUGUUUUCACCUUGCCAUCAAAUCGUUUCAGGUGAAGCUUGUUAAUAUUUGUAUUGUGAGAAAUUACAAAUAACUGUUCCCUUGUUGCCUCUGCAUAUCCAUCACAAUGUUACAUAUCACUGUUGUUCCUCAAUUAGAGUCUUUGUCUGCUUAAUCUCCCCUUCCUUGAAAAUAAUCUUCAAGCAUCUCUGCACAGUGUUUCACCUGGCUUCCAGCGUGGCCAGGGGAGCAAGAAUUGAGCAAGCGCUGUGCUGUGCCAUAGUCCUUCAGCGCGUGCUGAGCUCACCUUGGCCAUGGGCAGGUCCCCAGCACCUGAAUGGGAGCAGGCAGCUUCUCUCAGAUCCUGCUGCAGAAGUGCCCAAACCUCUGAAGUACUGCCAUGCCACGGCAAGUUGUACAGGGACAAAGUUCAUAAAAUUGUGUGCUGUGGGACCAGUUUGCCAGGAAAGUCAGCGUUACUCACCUGAGGCUGAGCAUAAACCUCUCUUUCUUCUGGCAGGAGGGCAGCUCUUAGAGGACAGGGACCCCAGAGCAGAGCUCUGUACCAGCUGUGUGCCCAGGAGCAGGGCAUGCUACCACCUGCAACCACCCCAGCCCAAAUGUCUCCCCGGCGCUGGCAGCAGGCUGCACUCUGUGUUUGGCUCUAAGGUCCCUGUCCCACACACCCACCACCCUGCCGUGGGGCCACUACUUAUUCCUCACUUGAGAGCCUUAAUGAACUGAUCAUGUUCGAAGUGCUGGGACUUUUUUGGAGGAAGAUGAGUGCUCAUUGAUCAUCUCUCAAGCUAGGCAGGGGAGUGCUUAUCCUCCAUGUAGCAUCUCUUGUAUUCGAAAGAGACUUGUGUUGGGUUUAGUUGAGAAAUGCAAGUGAGAGCACACAGCAGUUAUGUUCCCAGCCCAGCUUGUUAUUUUUUAUGGCUCCCAUCCCCAACAGAGGACAAUGGUUUCUGUUGCUCUUAUAGUCUAUGGGAAGCUGGUGUUUGACAGUACACUCUAAAUGCUUAUGUUUUGGUUUUCUGACUGGAUUUUUAUUUUACAGUUGAAGUUAGUAUUUUUACUCUUAUUUUAUCAUUGGGUUUUUCUUUAAAAUUGCUUUCUCCCCUCCUCCACUCUUCAUUCUUUUGGCACAGCCUGACACUCACCAGCUGUUCACAAUUCCUUCACCCCUUCUGUUUUUCAGCACCAAACUACCACAACAUAGAGUUAAAGUACAUCUUCUUCCUUGCAGGAGGCUUUCCGUGCCCACUGAAUACAUUUCAUAAAAAUACUUUCCUCUCUCUCUCUUUCCUGCCUUGGAGGAAAGUUAUUAUAUCUGUAAGCCUCACAUAAUUCAGAUUGGGCAAUCUGUCAUCUUUGAAUUACCUGAGUUUGAUUUCUUGAUUGUUUUUAGAUCCUAGGAUGACUGAUCCUCUUCUCUUCUUGAUACAGCAAGUUCUUCCACAAAGUGAGUUCUCAAUAAUUACUUUUCAACAAAAUGUUCAGUCAUAAAUGUGGUCGCCUCUCCCCUGCCCUUUCCGUUUUGUUUUGUGCAAUUGAUUUUUUUUUUCCCAGGCUGAAACUUGACCAAAAAUCAGUGUAUUCCCAUAUACCAGCAAAUUGUACCCAGAAGAGGCAAACUGGAAUGACAUUGUGAAGCAACCGGUUACAGCAGAGUCAUCUAUUGAAGAGAGAGAGAAUAGCUUUUACUCAGCGAAGUGCAGAGCAUGGCAACUCCCACUGUUGCUAAUGGGAGAAGAGGCUGCUGAGCUCCUCUCAGGAGUGUACUGUUUUAAUUUCCAAUUGAGUUAUUUGUUCACUUGUUAAAGAACUCAUCUCUUAGGGCAGUGACUCUCAAAGACAAUAAUAGUGGCUGCAUGCAGCCACCAGGGAAUUCAUCGCAGCCACAAGACAAAAACUUGCUGUGAUUGUUCAGUUCUGUUUUGACUUAAACUGUCAAAACUGUGGCCACCAUUAAUUUACUGUGAUGGCACGUGUCACAGCUGCUUGUCUGAGAGUCACUGGUUAGCCCUGUCUCUCUUUUAGGCACUUGAAGCAGGAGUUCCCAAGCUGCAGUCUGAUGGACCAUGUCAUGUAGUCUGCAAAACCAUACUAACAUCGCACCUUGGCAUUGUCCCUCUGAUUUUUCAGUUAAAAGCCCUUUGGAAAGGGGUGCAACAGGCUGCAGGAAACACCAGGGUGCUCCAUGGCUCCAGAGGAAAUGGGGACAAUCAAACUGACAGGUCAAAUUUGCUCUCAGCGCGCAUCUCUGCCAGUUUCCGCUCGCAGGUGACUGGUGUCUUCUGCUGUCCAGGCUCCCUGCCCCUGGCUUUCAUCUUCCAGAUAUAUCCUCUGCUGCCUGUAGAGCAACCUCACAGGCAUCAAAGCAUCCCCAAAACCUGGUUUUCUAGGGAACUGGCCGUGUCAGAUUUACAGUACAAGAAAGACUCCUCCAACAACACCCAAUCCAAGAGCUUGUCAUAGCUGGAUUGCCUCAAAACCUAUCCCUUCAAAAAAUGAUUUUGCUAAUGAAUUGGCUUCUUUUCCAUUGUUGAUAGACAAGGACAAAAUUAAAAACAACAAACAUGCUUAGUUGCAAAAUGUCACACAAAAGAUAUACGUAUAUCCAUUUAUUUUACUACCUUCCUUUCUUGUCUUUUCCUUUCAUUCUUAUCCAGCUUCUGGAGGAGCCAUUGUGUGGGUAGAAUCAAGAGCAGAUUUCAAUGGUAGGGAGUAAAGGACAAAAUCUUCCCUGCACAAUGUAGUAUACUGUUUCCAUACCGUAAAACUUUUUAUGAGCAUACUGUUCCUCAUAUGAAACAGUUUUCUCUCCUUUGAAUGAUCAGCUUUGUAUUAUUUUUUAAUUAUUUAUCUGUAUAACAUCAAAGCUCUAGUUUCAACACCCUCCCCCUAAAGCCCAGCUUCAUGGAAGUAUUUGCUGUAUGGCUUAGGAUAGUACUUGCAUGUGCUUCAAGGCUUGCAAAAAAUAACCAAAGAGAGCAAAAGAAACUCAAGUGCUUUGGCUUUAAGGAAAAACAUUGACUGUGGACAAAUAUUAGUAAUAUCGUAACCAUGAGGUAAGAAGGUAUUGAUUCGCUGUUGAUGGCCUGCAUGAGAACUGCAAAAGGGAAACAGACCUCUGAAAUUCCCAAGACAUGACCAAGCAGUGAGUUAGAAAUAAGCCUUACAAUGCACUGCAGCCCAGGCAGAGCAGAGGCAUCCAGGAAAGGCUGCAAGUGAGCUAACUGCUGACCAAGGAAGGUCAACAACCCAGGUAAGUAAAGAGCAACACUGGGAAGCAGACUCUGCUCUUGAGUUUGGGUCUCUCCUCUCCGCAGGAGGAAGGUAGAAUCCCUGUGGCCCUGCAGAAGAGGUGACAAUUCAGGACUGGUGAAGCUCAGAUGAGGAGACACCAAGGGCUAGCAUAUGAACUGCUUUAUUUUAGGAAAAGAGUUGGAUCUUUCUGGCCUUAGAGAGAGACAGUCCAGGCACGCGUGCAUGAUCUCUGUAAGGCAUGUACAGGGUGCUGGAUAUGCCCUCCACACACAGACUUUGAUGUAGCAAGCAUGUCUGUCACUCCUUGAAACUCCGUUUGUCUUCCCCACAAAUGCUGGGGAGUCUCCAGGGGUAUGUUUGGUAAAGGUAGCUGAGUCUGCAGCACCUGCAGUGGAUGAUGGAGGUUAUCGUCCUGCCUACGAGCUAUGAAAUGCUCACAGUCCACCUGAUCAAAGCUCCUGGGAAAAAGAAGUGCUAUAUCUAUGGCAGAUGGCCUCGUUUGCCAGUGACAGAAGAACACACUGCUGGCACCAGGCUGCUGUGCCUGUCCCUGGCUGCUAACAGAUGCCCUCAUGCUGCCUCUGGUUUCUCUCAGGUGGGUGGUACAUGUGAACAAAAUACAUAGGUGGCAACACGAGACCUUACUCCUCCCUGAUGUGUAGAGGCUGAGUUCAAGAGGUCCAGGAAGCAGCUGGGACUGCAAGCUCAGAUCCUUCCUAGGGAUAGGGAAGGCAGUCUUUCCCUUUCAUUCACUUUCUCAAGCAAAACAGUAACCAGGACUUACUUUCUUUAGGGAUCCUUCUGGAGAUCUCACUGAGCCAACUCCAUGAUGUCUGGCACCACAAAUUAGAUAAAGCGCUUGGCAUUUCCCGGACAGCCCGUACUCCAUAAGGCCUCAGUGUGUGAAUACGAGGACGGCUUGAAUGUUGCCUGCUGAGACUGAAGAAGAACUUGAGUGAAAAUAAUCCUCUCUUUUGUUCCGCUUGGGUUGCUUUUUGUUUGCCUGACAGAUGUUCGGCCCCUGUGCGUGUGCAUGGAGCGGCUCCUCCGCUGGGCCCUCUGAUCCGCCAGCUUAUUGAUUUCUGCCUAUCUGUGCGGCUUGUCUCCAGCCCUUACAGAUGCGAGGGCUGCAGCCCGGGCAGCAGCCCCUCUCCUUUGCACACAAAUAGGGCAACCCUCUAUUGUGAGGGGGCCGGUGGAGGAGAGCUGGCCUCACUCCCUCUUGAGCCGUUUUGACAAAUUCAGGCGGGUUUUGGGGGGGCAAAGGGGAAGAUACCCAGGUGCAAUGCUGCGUUUAUGACAUGCAGUGACACACUAUUGUGCAGAUGCAAAAGUAAACAGGAAGGAAGAAGCUGUAAGCAGAGAGACCUCGGAGCUUUGCAUUCUGCCUGUGUGUUAUCUCAAGUUCAUAUUUCAGUCACUUGACCAAUGGAUGUAGGUAUCAAAGUUGUCGCCAAGGAAAGCCUUGUAAACCACAGUAUUUGCUGUUGCCCUGCUUCUCCUCCAUGGCAUUGCUACUCACUGCUCCCAGUUUCACUGACCGGCCUAGCCACACAGUUUUGCAAUAAAGACUUUCAUCUUACAAUUAAACAGGUUUGUAAGCUGCUUGUAACAUUUUUCUUCCAUCUUUUUGUUUUGUUUUGUCUUGCUUUUCUGCAUUCUGAGUUGUGGCACAAGGAUUCUGUCAGCAGGAAGGUGUCAGAGUGCUCUGCGAAGGUGGCGUGCUGCAGAUCUGCAUCCACAUUUCAGCAUACAGUCGUAGGCUCACUUUGCUGUUGGCAGCAGUUUGGCUUUUAUUUCUUCACUGAUGUUAUGUCUGAAGCCACCACUGGCUCUUAGUGCUCUGGAUGGAGUGUUGAAAACAAGGCUGUUGUUUUAUCACACUCAGCUGUCUCUCCUCCCUCAGCACAUGCCCCUAGGAAGUAGUCGGUGCACACACUGCCCACUACAUCCCUGCAACAGCAGCUCUUCACUGGUGUCUGUAACGCACUCACGCAGAGCAGAUGGACUCUCAAGGUGCAUCUCUUUUUCUUUGGCUGUGUGAUGGCUAUAAAGGCAGCUAUGAGGUGCAUAUCUUCCACGCUGCCAAUAACCUGUUACAAACCUUGUGCCUACAGUAGGGUCACUGUCUGCAGACCAGCUUUCCUGCUCUAUACCACAUUGCCCUGCCUUAUCUGUCCUCUCCCUAACAAGUAUCAUGUAUCACUGUGCAUGUCAGUGCUUCCAGAGCUAUGACUGCACGGUGGCUAGGAGAGAGACAUCCUUUGAUUUCAUUGAUGUUAUUAGGCACUGGGUUGUCAUCUAAUACGCCCGUAGUUGGGCACCAGUUUAUUGAAAACUAGCUAGCUAUGUGUUCAUGACUUCUUGCUUAACAGGAUAUUUUACCCUGCAGAAACAAAUCUGAACACGUUUGUAGUGCUACAGAGUUCAUCUCUUUCCUUCCUGAAGUGUUGCUCUUUGCUCGCAAGGGUUGGGGUAUCUUGGUUUGUACUUGUUAAGGCAAAACUCCUACUAACAUGCUGUAGUCUGUUGGCUCUUCCCAACAGACUCUCAGAGCUGGCAGCAAAACUUCACUUCCGAGUGAUCUAUACUAGCAUGAAAAGCAGGCAUGGAGGGAAAUUGAGUUUGCAGCCUGUGGUGUCCUGCAUUGCCACUCCAGCUGUGUUGUUGCAGUUACUGGAUCUAAGACUAAAACCGCUGAGUAUGGUGCCUCCAGGUCCUCAGUGGGUGCUUCCAACUGACAGCUUACUGGGACGGGGCUCAGUCAGAGCUGAUGGCAAAGAAGGCAUCUCUGUAUAAUACUUCUUUGAAUAGCGUCUAGCAGCAGUAGGGUGGAGAGAAAGACUUGGACAGCACCUGUAGGGCAGAGCAUAUGUUUGCACAGUCACUGUCUGCAUCUCUGCAUCUCUGUACUACUGCAGCACUAUAAUGGUCUCCCUCACUCUUGUGGUAAGACAACAACUGCUCUUCUCAGCAUCAGCUCAGGGCUUGAGAUUUCUUUGUCUGAUGCUAGUAUCAUGCAGUACAAGCAGAAUGUGUGUAUGAGCCUUUAAUUCAGGGAAAAUGACACUGACAAGCCACAGCAGUAUCAAUGGCCAUCAGCUUUCAUGACCCUCUUUAUUAGUUUUGGAUUCUCCCUGACACAUAUGCAAAAAUAAGCAAAAGCAAUUCAUUCGGAAAGGACCAUUUGUAAAAUGGACUCUGGUAUGACAGUUGCAGCCUCACUGAGCCUUCUGGACCUUGUAUUUCACCUUUCAUUUGGUCAACAGAAGAGGAUUGUUACUGCUAAGAAUUGCUCAAUGCACACUUUGUAAAUGAAAUAUUGCCCUGGGAGAGUGUCACCCAAACACUCUUAGCUUGCUUAUGGCUUGGUGACAUUUCAGAUGUUGGUCUCAACCUGCUAAAAACAAGUGGGUUUGGGCUAAGUAUUCACAGAGCUUGCCUGUAGCAGGUGGUGGGGACAACCAGACACUCAGUUCAAGCCAGGAAGAACAGUGGGUAAGUCAUGAACAAUUCCUGAUAAGAGGAUGAAGAGGAGAGACAUUUCCAAAAUCCAUGUCUAUUGAUUCUCUGAAGUCAAAGGGUGCAGGGUGAUAAAACCUUCCUCUGGCUCUCAGGUAGAAAAUGCCUUGUGGAUGUGGGGGAUCAGUGAACACUGCCUCUUGCAUCAGUUGGCACUUGUAGCACAACAUAAUGCACCACAUGGCACAAGUGAUUUUGUACAUGUGUAUUUUUGCAAAGGCCAUGUUAUAACUCUCUAUAGGCACUGCUAGACCAGUAUGGUGGGAGUUAUGUAAAGCACUUAUAUUCCACAGGUGGUAUAGGUUGUGCCUACACUGAGUGUUAGAAAGGGAAAAAACAGUAUUUGGAUUCAUUCCUCUGACUUGUCUUGUUUCUGCCUUUACUCUCACAGGCCUUCCCCGUGCUUCACACAGCCUUUGGGUGAUGUUGUUGUUUGCAGGGCUGUGUGGAAGCUAUUCUGUGACUUUUCUUUUAAAGCAGUUCUUUGAAAUUCUGCUGUGUCUGUAAUAGGGUUUGAGCACGGUUGCGUCACUGUUGUGAUGGUCUGUCAAGCCUUCUAAUUGGGUUGUCUCAUUAAAACUUACAAUCAGCGCUUACAAGGCAGCAAUCCUGUAGUCCAACACUGUAGCUGGAGCCACACUGGCUGACCAAGUGCCUGCACGUGGGUUGGGAUCUGGAUGCAGAGGUCAAUGGGAACCUGUGUCUCUGAACUCAUCCCAAAAUAAAGUUUGAAUGUAUCAGACCACCUCUGACUUUACUUCCUCUGCAA